This 403-nucleotide long non-coding RNA is filed under the name Malus domestica (apple). Its description in RNAcentral is "long non-coding RNA (MDOM_LNC006527)". The record is from RNAcentral. Lineage: Eukaryota; Viridiplantae; Streptophyta; Magnoliopsida; Rosales; Rosaceae.
CUUUCUCCCACACUCUUUCCUCAAUUUGGGUUUAUUUGUAUGUGGUUUCCAUUUUUAUUUUCAAAUUUGAGUUUCGUCUUAAUGUGGCUCCUUUCUUGCUAAUCUCUAAGCCAACAAGAUUCAAAAUUAGUACCAAGAUGUUGGAUGCUGAAUGUGAAGGUGCUAAAAGGAAGAAGACUUCUACAGUUGUAAUUACAACAAGGGGGACUUUGUUUGUUGCUUACAAUGUUUGUUGUGUGCGGUUUGUUGCAAAAUCUUUAGGGACGCAUAGCGUUCGUGAUAAUAAAAAUAUCAAAUGCUGAUUUAAAUUUAUUAAAAACAUCAAACAAACUCAAGACACACAUCUGAAUAAAUUAAAAAACUUGAGGCAAUGAAUGAAGUGACAUGCACCUUUAAUUCAACA